RNAcentral lists this transfer RNA (71 nucleotides) under Marmota monax (woodchuck). RNAcentral describes it as "tRNA.Ala". It matches the Rfam family "tRNA". Rfam says of the family: Transfer RNA (tRNA) molecules are approximately 80 nucleotides in length. Their secondary structure includes four short double-helical elements and three loops (D, anti-codon, and T loops). The record is from RNAcentral. Lineage: Eukaryota; Metazoa; Chordata; Mammalia; Rodentia; Sciuridae.
GGGGUUGUGGCUCAGUGGCAGAGCGCUUGCCUAGCAUGCAUAAGGCACUGGGUUCGAUCCCCAGCACCACA